RNAcentral lists this ribosomal RNA (505 nucleotides) under Campylobacter coli. RNAcentral's name for it is "partial 23S ribosomal RNA". It matches the Rfam family "Bacterial large subunit ribosomal RNA", at positions 683 to 1188 of the family's 2925-position model. The record is from RNAcentral. Lineage: Bacteria; Pseudomonadati; Campylobacterota; Epsilonproteobacteria; Campylobacterales; Campylobacteraceae.
CUGAAUAGGGCGCUUAGUCAGAUGCUGCAGACCCGAAACGAAGUGAUCUAUCCAUGAGCAAGUUGAAGCUAGUGUAAGAACUAGUGGAGGACUGAACCCAUAGGCGUUGAAAAGCCCCGGGAUGACUUGUGGAUAGGGGUGAAAGGCCAAUCAAACUUCGUGAUAGCUGGUUCUCUCCGAAAUAUAUUUAGGUAUAGCGUUGUGUCGUAAUAUAAGGGGGUAGAGCACUGAAUGGGCUAGGGCAUACACCAAUGUACCAAACCCUAUCAAACUCCGAAUACCUUAUAUGUAAUCACAGCAGUCAGGCGGCGAGUGAUAAAAUCCGUCGUCAAGAGGGAAACAACCCAGACUACCAGCUAAGGUCCCUAAAUCUUACUUAAGUGGAAAACGAUGUGAAGUUACUUAAACAACCAGGAGGUUGGCUUAGAAGCAGCCAUCCUUUAAAGAAAGCGUAAUAGCUCACUGGUCUAGUGAUUUUGCGCGGAAAAUAUAACGGGGCUAAAGU